RNAcentral lists this ribosomal RNA (459 nucleotides) under uncultured bacterium. RNAcentral describes it as "partial 16S ribosomal RNA". It matches the Rfam family "Bacterial small subunit ribosomal RNA", at positions 338 to 795 of the family's 1533-position model. The record is from RNAcentral.
CCUACGGGUGGCAGCAGUGAGGAAUAUUGGUCAAUGGGCGCGCGCCUGAACCAGCCAAGUCGCGUGAGGGAAGACGGUCCUAUGGAUUGUAAACCUCUUUUGUCGGGGAGCAAAAGACGCCACGCGUGGCGUUCCGAGAGUACCCGAAGAAAAAGCAUCGGCUAACUCCGUGCCAGCAGCCGCGGUAAGACGGAGGAGGCGAGCGUUAUCCGGAUUUAAUGGGGUUAAAGGGUGCGCAGGCGGAAGAUCAAGUCAGCGGUAAAAUUGAGGGGGCAAACCUCUUCGAGCCGUUGAAACUGGUUUUCUUGAGUACGUGCGAGGUAUGCGGAAUGCGUGGUGUAGCGGUGAAAUGCAUAGAUAUCACGCAGAACUCCGAUUGCGAAGGCAGCAUACCGGCGCUCAACUGACGCUCAUGCACGAAAGUGUGGGUAUCGAACAGGAUUAGAUACCCCUGUAGUC